This 700-nucleotide ribosomal RNA is filed under the name uncultured archaeon. Its description in RNAcentral is "bacterial SSU rRNA". It matches the Rfam family "Archaeal small subunit ribosomal RNA", at positions 102 to 801 of the family's 1478-position model. The record is from RNAcentral.
GGAUAACUUACCCUUAGGACUGGGAUAACUCUGGGAAACUGGGGAUAAUACUGGAUAUUAGGCUAUGCCUGGAAUGGUUUGCCUUUGAAAUGUUUUUUUCGCCUAAGGAUAGGUCUGCGGCUGAUUAGGUCGUUGGUGGGGUAAUGGCCCACCAAGCCGAUGAUCGGUACGGGUUGUGAGAGCAAGGGCCCGGAGAUGGAACCUGAGACAAGGUUCCAGACCCUACGGGGUGCAGCAGGCGCGAAACCUCCGCAAUGUACGAAAGUGCGACGGGGGGAUCCCAAGUGUUAUGCUUUUUUGUAUGACUUUUCAUUAGUGUAAAAAGCUUUUAGAAUAAGAGCUGGGCAAGACCGGUGCCAGCCGCCGCGGUAACACCGGCAGCUCGAGUGGUAGCUGUUUUUAUUGGGCCUAAAGCGUUCGUAGCCGGUUUGAUAAGUCUUUGGUGAAAGCUUGUAGCUUAACUAUAAGAAUUGCUGGAGAUACUAUUAGACUUGAAGUCGGGAGAGGUUAGAGGUACUACCGGGGUAGGGGUGAAAUCCUAUAAUCCUGGGAGGACCACCUGUGGCGAAGGCGUCUAACUGGAACGAUCUUGGCGGUGAGUAACGAAAGCCAGGGGCGCGAACCGGAUUAGAUACCCGGGUAGUCCUGGCCGUAAACGAUGUGGACUUGGUGUUGGAAUGGCUUUGAGUUGUUCCGGUGC